GUCCUUUUCAAAGUGACGGAUGGCUUCCUUCGAUGUAUGCUCUCUUCGCCGCCUCUGCCCGCCGCCGCCCUCGGUCUUCUUCUCCGGCCGUCCGCCGCCGCCAGCCGGUCUUCUUCUCCAGCCAUCCGCCAUCCGUCCUCCUUCCCCUCCACAUCUGCCCCUAAUCUUCUUCGGCGCCACCCACAGCCUCAUCAAUCUCCAACCUCUUGUUCCCGUGCUUCUCUGAUUUGGAUCGAGAUGGGAGUCCUGGAUCGAGUUAGGGUCUGUGUUCUUCUCCAACACAAAGCCAUGGAGUGACCGACCCGGAUUUGACUUGGCUAUCAUAAGAAGGAAGGGUCCUCGACCGGAAUCUGCCCCAGGCAGGACCUCAAUGGCGACCUGCAGGCCCGGCCUCUGUCUCUUUCGACUCCCUCUUUUUGCGACCUCAAGAAGCUGCGGCGGCUCAUCCUCGAGGCCAAGCUCGUGCAAUUCCGACGACUCCAGGCCCAAUUUGUUUCCUGCUCUAUCGGGUCCAAGUGACGCGCCAAGGGGAUUUGCACCAGCUUUCAGGAUUGUUCAGUUUCAUGCUAAGAAAAAAAAUAGGUCUGAGGGGAACCACUUCUUUGGCGUGUUGUUCCAGUAGUUCAUGAUGAUGGGCCAGGAGUGAACUAAACUCGUCCGACAGUGUUCUACGGUUCGCCGCAACUUCGUAGGCCGGUUUUCCACUUGAUGUAUGUAGACAAGGAGGAUUGAAAUCAUGGUAUUUGGUUCUCUGCAAUCUACAGUAAUAUGUCUUUGGCCUUAUUUUCCUACUGCUGGUUGUGAUUGUGGUACAUAACACUCUGAUGUUGAAAGGGUGGAUCAGGUCAUGGAGUAGCUAUGCCCCCAUCGAGUAGCUUAUGCAUCCUAUAUUUAGCUUUUCAAGAUUAUUAGAUGUUUUAUGUCAAGAUGAAUACAUGGAUAGUCCACUAUUUGCAGUAUUGUUAUAAUUGCUCCCUGUUUCCGAUAAAAUGAUUUCUUUUGUUCAUUAGUGUUACAAUAUUAUAAUGCAAUGGUUGUUAUAAUAUGGGGAACUGGUUAAUUAUAAGAGACUGUCACAUAUGAGGAUGAAAGCGUGGAUCAGCUCCUGUAGUAGUUAUCUUUGAUUUACGACCGAGUUUACUUAUGGUUAUAGGAUGGAACUUUGUAUUAUUUUGCCAUCUUCUUUCCUUUUUGAAAAUAGCUACAGCAACUGGCAGUUUAAGUUGGUGCGAGCAAGUAAAUAACGCAAUUUUCUUAAUAACUUUUGCCGCGCAUAUUGUAACUGUAAGCCGCAAUUCAGGUUCAAGGUAACUCUCUAUGUAAUUCCAGAGCAGAGGUUUAUAAGGCAACUCUCUAUGAAACAGAUGUUUUGUGAACGAGCAGAUUUGAUGUUCGAUUUGCAUAAACAUGGGAAAUUCGUAGUUAUUUACUAUUCCAAUUUUAAGCUAAUAUGGUAUUUGAUUCAUGCACAGGGCUGAAGGUUUUACUCGAAGUCGUGUUAUAUUAGAGUUAGUGCCUAAAAAAAUGUCAGUGUAUCUCCUGGAGGAGGAGGUGGGAGAGAUGUAGCAGGUAGAAGAUGGACCGUGGAUAAGAAAGAGGAAGGGAUAAAGUGUCAAUCAGCAAUGAAAACUUUAGUAUUUGUGAUGUAAAUUUGAAUGCUAAAGUUUGAAUUUUUUCCUUGGUCUUAAUUUCUUUCUUUCAAAUGCAAGUGGAUUAAUCUGCAUAAAAUUUAAUACUAUGUUGUAUUCAGCUUUAUUUAGAUUUACCUUCCACUCAUAGGUUGGAGUCUAGAGUUUAUGCAUACCGUUGCAUGAGUAUUGUUGCAUCAUGGUCAAUUCUCUUGGACAGAUAGCUGAGGCCAUUGCAUAAUUUCAGAGGUACUUAUAAAUAUAAAAUGGCUUUCUUUAGCAAAAAUUCCAAAGUUAUGAUGUUUAUUUUGAUAACCUCGACAAUGUCAAGUACAUAGAAUUGGAAUGGAGCCGAGCAACCCUGGUUCAUUGUAAGUGAUGUUUGCUUCACAUCGAAUCAUUGAAGGAGUAUGAUGCUGCUUUGGAAGGAGGCUUUUCUCAAUCUGUGCUACUUUCGGGGCGAGGCUGGGCCACGUCCACACUAUUGUCGCUCGCCUGCCUGGGCCUGGGACGUGUUAUUGAAGCCUUCACCAUGCUACAGAGGACAGUCCUGAAGCUCAGUGUUAGAAGACAAGUUGGCUUCGUAUAUUGGUGAAAUCUCAACCCAUGUUCUUCAGUUGGCUUCAUAUAUUGGAUGUUGACGCUUCGCUUGCUUCUGAUAAGAAUGCUUGGAAAGAGCUGUGAUGAAAAAUGGAAAACUUCUGUAGUUUUACAAGACAAGUAAGCGCCUAUGACUUGCAGUCAUCUCCUUUCCUAUCCAGCACAACGCAAGUGCGCAUGACAGCUAGCACAGCAAACACCCACCAAGCAAGCACACGUACGCAGCAGUAGCAUGUAGCAAGCUAUCACACACGCGCCCGACACAACAGCCGACUCGGCAAAAGCACCCUGCUGGACUGGACGACCACGGCGUGCGUGGGCUGAGGCCUCGCCGAAGGAGCGGCGCUUGCGGUGUCUGCAUGUUCGGCCUUGCUGCACUCCAGAAUAGUCACAUCACGGCGCGCUGCAGUAGGGCAACGAUUCUGUAAGAGGUAAAUAGGGGUUUGGGGCGCUAUUGUCCAAGAUUGUGCUAUCAAGGAUUGUGGAUCUUAACUAAUUAGACUAUUCAUUUGUAAUCUUAAUCUAUAAAAAGAAAGUAAGGUUGUAUUGUAUUUAGCACUCUUGUGAUAAGAAUGCUUUUUUGUUGUUGUUCUUAUUAAAACAUUGGCGUGCAGCAGCCAUAGAUAAUGUGAUUACUAUAUGCUUUAGUUCAAAA
This is a long non-coding RNA of Aegilops tauschii subsp. strangulata, 2883 nucleotides long. RefSeq lists it as uncharacterized. The record is from RefSeq and is a predicted model, not a curated record. NCBI's taxonomy places the organism in Eukaryota, Viridiplantae, Streptophyta, Magnoliopsida, Poales, Poaceae.